GGGCUCACACAAGCGGUGGAGCAUGUGGCUUAAUUCGAAGCAACGCGAAGAACCUUAUCCAGGGUUUGACAUCCCGGAUUAAACCGUCGAAAGACGGUCUACACCCUUUGGGUGGAACGGUGACAGGUGCUGCAUGGCUGUCGUCAGCUCGUGCUGUGAAGUGUCGGGUUAAGUCCCUCAACGAGCGCAACCCUUAUCGUUAGUUGCUAACAGGUAAUGCUGAGGACUCUAGCGAGACUGCCGGUGUCAAACCGGAGGAAGGUGGGGAUGACGUCAAGUCCUCAUGGCCUUUAUGCCCUGGGCUGCACACGUGCUACAAUGGUAGGUACAGAACGAUGCAAGACCGCGAGGUGGAGCAAAUCGCUAAAACCUGCCCCAGUUCGGAUUGGAGGCUGCAACUCGCCUCCAUGAAGUCGGAAUCGCUAGUAAUCGCGGAUC
This 438-nucleotide ribosomal RNA is filed under the name uncultured bacterium. RNAcentral describes it as "bacterial SSU rRNA". It matches the Rfam family "Bacterial small subunit ribosomal RNA", at positions 917 to 1350 of the family's 1533-position model. The record is from RNAcentral.